This 484-nucleotide ribosomal RNA is filed under the name uncultured bacterium. RNAcentral describes it as "partial 16S ribosomal RNA". It matches the Rfam family "Bacterial small subunit ribosomal RNA", at positions 30 to 507 of the family's 1533-position model. The record is from RNAcentral.
AUUGAACGCUGGCGGCAGGCCUAACACAUGCAAGUCGAGCGGAUGAAGGGAGCCUGCUCCUGGAUUCAGCGGCGGACGGGUGAGUAAUGCCUAGGAAUCUGCCUGGUAGUGGGGGAUAACGUCCGGAAACGGGCGCUAAUACCGCAUACGUCCUGAGGGAGAAAGUGGGGGAUCUUCGGACCUCACGCUAUCAGAUGAGCCUAGGUCGGAUUAGCUAGUUGGUGGGGUAAAGGCCUACCAAGGCGACGAUCCGUAACUGGUCUGAGAGGAUGAUCAGUCACACUGGAACUGAGACACGGUCCAGACUCCUACGGGAGGCAGCAGUGGGGAAUAUUGGACAAAGGGCGAAAGCCUGAUCCAGCCAUGCCGCGUGUGUGAAGAAGGUCUUCGGAUUGUAAAGCACUUUAAGUUGGGAGGAAGGGCAGUAAGUUAAUACCUUGCUGUUUUGACGUUACCAACAGAAUAAGCACCGGCUAACUUCGUG